AUGGUGAGAGAAGAAGAAAUAGAGGGGGGCAGGAAAAGGAAAACAAGGGCAAAAUCUCAUCCAGCUGACUCUGCCCCCCUUUUAUUGAAGGAGAUUUCCAGGAAGUCCCAUCUCUGUGUGCCUCUACUGCAUCAGAUGGCUGUUUUCUGCAAGAUGGCUAUUAUGUGCCUGAGAUUGUGGGGUACAAAACAUUUGCAUGUUGUAUUUAUUGUUCAUAACAGCCCUGUAAGGAAGACCUUUUCAACCCUGGGUUCUAGUUUCAUCCUUGCUGUUAUACAGCUAAGUAAUAUGAGAUAAUCACUUUCCUCCUGGCCCCCAGUUUUCUCACUUGUUUUAUGAGGGUCUAGACUAAAUAAGGAGUCCUUAACUUAAGGUCUAUAUACCCCUGUGGGGACCGUGGAUAAAAUUCAGGCAGGAGCAGAGUUCCCUUCGUGGCUCAAUGGUAAUGACUAGUAUCCAGGAGGAUGCAGGUUCGAUCCCUGGCCUUGCUCAGUGGGUCAGGGAUUAGGCAUUGUCAUGAGCUGUGAUGUAGGUCACAAAUGUGGCUCAGUUCCUGCAUUGCUAUGGCUGUGGCACAGGCUUGCUGCUGUAGCUCUGAUUUGACCCUAGCCUGGGAACUUCCAUAUGCCUCAAGUGUAGCCCUAAAAAGACAAAAAAAAAAAAAAAAAAAAAAGCAGGGAGGAGGGCUGUGAAUUGAGGUGGGGGAAAUUAUUACAUCCUUGUUUUCCUUAACUUCUGGUUGAAAUUUAGCAUUUCCUUCUAUUAUGACUCUAGGCAGUGGACCACAGUAAUAUUAGCAGAACCUAUGAGUUUUUCACCAAAAGAAAUCAUAAAUAUUUUAGAGCAUCUUAUAGUUGUUUCAGAUAUGUUAAAAUAUCAUUUAUGUUCACCACUAUUUCAAAAUUAUGGUAGUUGUUACACCUGCCCUAUUUAAGGUGUUAAUAAAGAGAUAUACAUCUAUAUCUAUACA
Molecule: long non-coding RNA, 970 nt
Filed under: Sus scrofa (pig)
Lineage: Eukaryota; Metazoa; Chordata; Mammalia; Artiodactyla; Suidae
Description: lncRNA (ENSSSCG00070013243.1)
Source: RNAcentral